GAUGAAGAACGUAGCGAAAUGCGAUACUUGGUGUGAAUUGCAGAAUCCCGUGAACCAUCGAGUCUUUGAACGCAAGUUGCGCCCGAAGCCAUUAGGCCGAGGGCACGCCUGCCUGGGCGUCACACGUCGUUGCCCCCCCAUCUACUCCUUCGGGAUUGCGGGGGGCGGAUGAUGGCCUCCCGUGCGCCUCGUCGCGCGGUUGGCAUAAAUGCCAAGUCCUCGGCGACGCACGCCACGACAAUCGGUGGUUGCGAAACCUCGGUUGCCCGUCGUGUGCGGUCGUCGCGCAUCGAGGGCUCGAAAAAAUUGUCGGGCUCCGGCUCGGCUUUCAACGCGACCCCCAGGUCAGGCGGGGUUACCCGCUGAAUUUAAGCAUAUCAAUAAGCGGAGGA
Molecule: unclassified non-coding RNA, 392 nt
Filed under: soil metagenome
Description: partial contains 5.8S ribosomal RNA, internal transcribed spacer 2, and large subunit ribosomal RNA
Rfam family: 5.8S ribosomal RNA (bases 1-122)
Source: RNAcentral